This 465-nucleotide ribosomal RNA is filed under the name Vreelandella stevensii. Its description in RNAcentral is "partial 16S ribosomal RNA". It matches the Rfam family "Bacterial small subunit ribosomal RNA", at positions 338 to 795 of the family's 1533-position model. Lineage: Bacteria; Pseudomonadati; Pseudomonadota; Gammaproteobacteria; Oceanospirillales; Halomonadaceae. The record is from RNAcentral.
CCUACGGGGCGCUGCAGUGGGGAAUAUUGGACAAUGGGCGAAAGCCUGAUCCAGCCAUGCCGCGUGUGUGAAGAAGGCCUUCGGGUUGUAAAGCACUUUCAGUGGGGAAGAAAGCCUUGGGGCUAAUACCCUCGAGGAAGGACAUCACCCACAGAAGAAGCACCGGCUAACUCCGUGCCAGCAGCCGCGGUAAUACGGAGGGUGCGAGCGUUAAUCGGAAUUACUGGGCGUAAAGCGCGCGUAGGCGGUCUGAUAAGCCGGUUGUGAAAGCCCCGGGCUCAACCUGGGAACGGCAUCCGGAACUGUCAGGCUAGAGUGCAGGAGAGGAAGGUAGAAUUCCCGGUGUAGCGGUGAAAUGCGUAGAGAUCGGGAGGAAUACCAGUGGCGAAGGCGGUCUUCUGGACUGACACUGACGCUGAGGUGCGAAAGCGUGGGUAGCAAACAGGAUUAGAUACCCUUGUAGUC